GAUGAACGCUGGCGGCGUGCUUAACACAUGCAAGUCGAGCGAUGAAGUUUCCUUCGGGAAACGGAUUAGCGGCGGACGGGUGAGUAACACGUGGGUAACCUGCCUCAUAGAGUGGAAUAGCCUUCCGAAAGGAAGAUUAAUACCGCAUAAUGUUGAAAGAUGGCAUCAUCAUUCAACCAAAGGAGCAAUCUGCUAUGAGAUGGACCCGCGGCGCAUUAGCUAGUUGGUGGGGUAACGACCUACCAAGGCGACGAUGCGUAGCCGACCUGAGAGGGUGAUCGGCCACAUUGGGACUGAGACACGGCCCAGACUCCUACGGGAGGCAGCAGUGGGGAAUAUUGCACAAUGGGGGAAACCCUGAUGCAGCAACGCCGCGUGAGUGAUGAAGGUUUUCGGAUCGUAAAGCUCUGUCUUUGGGGAAGAUAAUGACGGUACCCAAGGAGGAAGCCACGGCUAACUACGUGCCAGCCGCCGCAGUAA
RNAcentral lists this ribosomal RNA (480 nucleotides) under uncultured bacterium. RNAcentral's name for it is "partial 16S ribosomal RNA". It matches the Rfam family "Bacterial small subunit ribosomal RNA", at positions 28 to 523 of the family's 1533-position model. The record is from RNAcentral.